Molecule: long non-coding RNA, 419 nt
Organism: Herpailurus yagouaroundi (jaguarundi)
Lineage: Eukaryota; Metazoa; Chordata; Mammalia; Carnivora; Felidae
Exons: 2
Source: RefSeq, a predicted model, not a curated record
CAGCGGCCGCGUCACGUCCCACGAGCUCAGCUCCGUCGGGGACAGCCUGAGCAGCGCGCGAUGCAGGCGGAAGGAUGCGGGGAGCCCCUUCGUCAGGUGUUCGUAGAGUUUCCGAAACUCCUCGAAUCUGGAGACAUCCGUACCGGAGCGAGCUUCUGAGGGUCCCGGAAAGGCCGGGAGGUGCUCCUGGGCCAAAGACAGGGCACCUCCCGAAGGCAGCCAGCAGAGCAUCAGCAGCAUCAGCAGCAUCAGCAGCAUUGGUGGUGUGGGUCCAGGCCCAGGCAUGCCUGUGCUAGCUGAGCUCUGAACUGAGACACCGGACGCUGCUGGACUGGCCUUUAUAAUCCCCGGACUUUGUCCGCCCCCGCCUGCCUGGUCCCUUCCGCUCUGGGUGCAGAGUAAACACUCCAGGGACCAUA